AUUUUUCAUUCAACUCUUUCAACUGCUAUCAUUAUUCCCAAAAAUAACAUUGUACAAAGUCAAUUUAACAUUAUUGUGCACAUUUUAUUGCUCAUUAAACAACACUUACCAUCUAAAAAUUUUCCCAGAAUAGUUGAUCCUCCACAACAAGAGAAAUCUCCAAGUCUUUAGAUAAUGCGAAAAGCUUGAGAAACUAAAAUAUGAAUUAGAAUCUGGAUUGUGAAAUUCAUUUGACAUCAGGCUUUAGGCGACUCCUUGCAGAAGUGGCGCUCCAUUGUGAUCACCUAACGUUUCAUCUUCUUCUCCGUCUUCAUCUUCCUCUGUUUGCCAGAGAAACCUAGCAUAUGCAGCAAGCACGUCGCUGUCUUGUGGAGAAGCUUGUACUGCCCUCUUAAAGUAGGUUGAGGCUUUAUCUUUAUCCUGAUGAAGUUGCCAUAUCAACAUGGCAUACUGUGAAAUAGUUUCUCCAUCAGUAGGAUCAGCUAGUAUUGCGUGUGAGUAAUAUUCUUCAGCACCUAGUAGGUCUCCCUUAGACUGACUAAGAAACUGAGCAUAGUUUCUUAAAAGCACGGAGUGAUGAGGAUAUUCUUUGAUCAUUCUCAUGUACUCCUCCUCGGCAUUUCCGUCCAUAUCAGAUACAGCUGCAGUAUAAUCAACAGGAGAGCUGCCACCAACUAGAUUAACCCCAAUUCCUAAUCCUGCUGCAAGAUGUAAGGGAGGGCUAACAGGUCUGUCAGCUUCUUCGUAAUCUAAGUUCCGGGAUACAGUAGCUUCCCCACUUUCCUCAAUCUUAGUCUUAUCACUCUGUGUGUUCAUUUCAUCCUCACUUUCAUCGUCAGUAAUGUCCCAGAGGAAACUAGCAUAUGCUCCAAGAACAUGGCUGUUCUCAGGAGCAGUACGUACUGCACGUUCAAAGUAAUCUGAUGCUCUAUCUUUAUCUUGGUGCAGCUCCCAUACUAACUUAGCAUACUGUGACAAGGUAUCUCCAUCUUUUGGAUCAGCUAGUGUAGCUUGAAAGUAAUAGUGUU
This 1028-nucleotide unclassified non-coding RNA is filed under the name Hevea brasiliensis (rubber tree). Lineage: Eukaryota; Viridiplantae; Streptophyta; Magnoliopsida; Malpighiales; Euphorbiaceae. The record is from RNAcentral.